CCAUACUAAUACCAUUCUUUUAUAGUGUUAGUACGCAAUAGGAUCGAUACGACAAUAUCAGUAUGGUACAAUAUCGUACCAUUCUAGGUGGUACAGCAGACACCGAUGUUGAUGACUUCUUUAUCCAUCAUCAUCGUCUUGUAGGGACAGUCUCUUUUCACUAUCUUCCAUCUAAGCUUCAAGCUAUUGAUUUACUUACUAAGCCUCGGACA
Molecule: long non-coding RNA, 212 nt
Filed under: Elaeis guineensis (African oil palm)
Lineage: Eukaryota; Viridiplantae; Streptophyta; Magnoliopsida; Arecales; Arecaceae
Description: long non-coding RNA (EGUI_LNC008731)
Source: RNAcentral